Molecule: ribosomal RNA, 121 nt
Filed under: uncultured bacterium
Lineage: Bacteria
Description: partial 16S ribosomal RNA
Rfam family: Bacterial small subunit ribosomal RNA
Source: RNAcentral
AAUACGUUCCCGGGCCUUGUACACACCGCCCGUCACACCACGAAAGUCGGCAACACCCGAAGCCGGUGGCCUAACCCGUUAAGGGGAGGAGCCGUCGAAGGUGGGGUCGGUGAUUGGGGUG